Molecule: ribosomal RNA, 118 nt
Filed under: uncultured bacterium
Lineage: Bacteria
Description: partial 16S ribosomal RNA
Rfam family: Bacterial small subunit ribosomal RNA
Source: RNAcentral
UACGUUCCCGGGCCUUGUACACACCGCCCGUCACGUCACGAAAGUCGGUAACACCCGAAGCCGGUGGCCCAACCCGUAAGGGAGGGAGCUGUCGAAGGUGGGAUCGGCGAUUGGGACG